GCUUUUUCUCCGGCCGAAGAGCAGUGAUCCGAAGCAGUUCCGGUACUGUGGAGGUACCGGUAACUAGAGGCUGCCCGCAGGGAUCAAUCAGCGGCCCAUUUAUCUGGGACAUACUGAUGGAUGUACUGCUUCAGCGUCUCCAGCCGUAUUGCCAGCUGAGUGCAUACGCGGAUGACUUGCUGCUUCUCGUCGAGGGAAAUUCCCGAGCUGUGCUAGAGGAAAAAGGAGCGCAACUAAUGUCCAUCGUAGAAACGUGGGGAGCGGAAGUUGGCGUUGCCGUCUCGACCAGCAAGACGGUAAUCAUGCUGCUGAAAGGUGCCUUGAGACGUGCGCCUACGGUGAGGUUUGCUGGAGCGAACCUUCCGUAUGUGCGUAGCUGUCGGUACCUUGGCAUCACGGUCAGUGAAGGAAUGAAAUUCCUCACGCACAUAGCUUCGCUUCGCCAGCGGAUGACAGGAGUCGUUGGAGCAUUGGCGCGUGUGCUUCGAGCCGACUGGGGCUUCAGUCCUCGAGCCAGGCGGACCAUAUAUGACGGACUCAUGGCACCUUGUGUGCUGUUUGGUGCCCCGGUAUGGUAUGACACCGCGGAACAAGUAGCUGCCCAGAGGCGACUAGCCUCCUGCCAGAGGCUAAUCCUGCUUGGAUGCCUUUCGGUAUGCCGAACAGUAUCCACAGUGGCACUGCAGGUACUUGGUGGAGCUCCCCCGCUUGAUCUGGCUGCUAAGUUAUUAGCGAUCAAAUACAAGCUAAAACGUGGAUUCCGCGCUGGAGGAGAACGACUGGCUUUACGGCGAGGACAUUGCGUGUCUUAGCUGGGAGCAGAGGAAGACUCGCCUAGAGGAUGUUUAAUCCAGAGUUGGCAGAACAGAUGGGACGAUGACAGCGAACCAGGACGGGUGACGCAUAGGUUUAUCCCAUACGUCACUCUUGCCUAUCGGGAUCCAAGUUUUGGAUUCUCGAUGAGGACGUCUUUCCUGCUUACAGGGCACGGGUCGUUCAAUGCAUUUUUGCACGGGAGAGCCCUCAGCGAUACCACUGCUUGCGCAUGUGGAGAUCCAUAUGAGGACUGGAUGCAUAUCUUGUGCGCUUGCCCCUAUAUGCAGAUCUGCGGGACCUAGAUGGACUUGGAGUGCAGCGCCUUGGCGAAAACUGGAUCUUCGAGGGAAUCCUGGAUGAUCAAGAGAAGACUCAACGGCUGGCAAUGUUUGCGGAAGAAGUGUUCCUGAGGAGGAGGGGCGUUUAGCUCAACAUCUCUGCCGUGUGGUUAGCGGGCGAGAAUACUACCACAGUCCGCUGUUGCUUGUCGUAAGAGACGACUAAUACAGCGAUAGGAUUCCUCUAACCCUGCUUGUCGGAGCAAAAGGGGGAGGCCCACCGAGCCUCUUUUCGGUACCACGGGUUGAGCAGCUAUCCAAGACUGCUCAUUGAGGUAGGCCCCCUGGUGGGAGUAUCGUGGUGGCUGUGGUUGGUACCCAUAUCGCGGGUAGAGCCUUCAUGCUCGACGUUUGAGUUACGGUGCUAGUUGCGCAAAACUCGGGUGCUGUGACCCAGAGAUCAGUAGAGAUUUUAGGUAGAUCUCGCUCCUCAGCAAGGGGAGUGCUUGCCCGGCAAGCAAGUACUCGAAUUGCUACCGGGGUGGUCGCUAUGUACAUAGCUAUAGCUUCUAGUCCGGGACGCUUGUCUGGCGUAUCCAGACACAUGCACCAUAUGCUCACUUGUGGGCGUAUAGGGUGCCGUGGUUGUAAUCCCUUCAGUGUGGAACACGCCACGUAAAAUAAGUUCGGAGGGAUCCGAAAAGCAUACAUUGUCCCUAUCUACUAUCUAGCGAAACCACAGCCAAGGGAACGGGCUUGGAAUAAUUAGCGGGGAAAGAAGACCCUUUUGAGCUUGACUCUAAUCUGGCAGUGUAAGGAGACAUAAGAGGUGUAGAAUAAGUGGGAGAUAUUAGACCUCGGUUUGGUAUCGUCAAUGAAAUACCACUACUCUUAUUGUUUCCUUACUUACUUGAUUAAAUGGAACGUGUAUCAUUUCCUAGCCAUUAUACGGAUAUAUUUAUUAUAUCUUAUGGUAUUGGGUUUUGAUGCAAGCUUCUUGAUCAAAGUAUCACGAGUUUGUUAUAUAAUCGCAAACAAAUUCUUUAAUAAAACGAUGCAUUUAUGUAUUUUUGAUUUGAAAAUUUGGUAUAACUCCAAUUACUCAGGUAUGAUCCAAUUCAAGGACAUUGCCAGGUAGGGAGUUUGACUGGGCGGUACAUCUCUCAAAUAAUAACGGAGGUGUCCCAAGGCCAGCUCAGUGCGGACAGAAACCACACAUAGAGCAAAAGGGCAAAUGCUGACUUGAUCUCGGUGUUCAGUACACACAGGGACAGCAAAAGCUCGGCCUAUCGAUCCUUUUGGUUUAAAGAGUUUUUAACAAGAGGUGUCAGAAAAGUUACCAUAGGGAUAACUGGCUUGUGGCGGCCAAGCGUUCAUAGCGACGUCGCUUUUUGAUCCUUCGAUGUCGGCUCUUCCUAUCAUUGUGAAGCAAAAUUCACCAAGCGUUGGAUUGUUCACCCAUGCAAGGGAACGUGAGCUGGGUUUAGACCGUCGUGAGACAGGUUAGUUUUACCCUACUAAUGACAAAACGUUGUUGCGACAGCAUUCCUGCGUAGUACGAGAGGAACCGCAGGUACGGACCAAUGGCACAAUACUUGUUCGAGCGAACAGUGGUAUGACGCUACGUCCGUUGGAUUAUGCCUGAACGCCUCUAAGGUCGUAUCCGUGCUGGACUGCAAUGAUAAAUAAGGGGCAAUUUGCAUUGUAUGGCUUCUAAACCAUUUAAAGUUUAUAAUUUACUUUAUAAACGACAAUGGAUGUGAUGCCAAUGUAAUUUGUAACAUAGUAAAUUGGGAGGAUCUUCGAUCACCUGAUGCCGCGCUAGUUACAUAUAAAAGCAUUAUUU
This 2940-nucleotide ribosomal RNA is filed under the name Drosophila melanogaster (fruit fly). RNAcentral describes it as "eukaryotic LSU rRNA". The stretch from base 1771 to 2940 matches the Rfam family "Eukaryotic large subunit ribosomal RNA", at positions 1891 to 3320 of the family's 3401-position model. The record is from RNAcentral. Lineage: Eukaryota; Metazoa; Arthropoda; Insecta; Diptera; Drosophilidae.